Molecule: ribosomal RNA, 305 nt
Filed under: uncultured bacterium
Lineage: Bacteria
Description: bacterial SSU rRNA
Rfam family: Bacterial small subunit ribosomal RNA
Source: RNAcentral
ACCUACGGGGCGCAGCAGUGGGGAAUAUUGCACAAUGGGGGAAACCCUGAUGCAGCGACGCCGCGUGAGUGAAGAAGUAUUUCGGUAUGUAAAGCUCUAUCAGCAGGAACGAGACAAGACGGUACCUGACUAAGAAGCCCCGGCUAACUACGUGCCAGCAGCCGCGGUAAUACGUAGGAUGCGAGCGUUAUCCGGAUUUAUUGGGUUUAAAGGGUGCGCAGGCGGCCUGUUAAGUCAGCGGUAAAAGCCCGGGGCUCAACCCCGGCGAGCCGUUGAAACUGGCGGGCUGGAGUUGGAGGGAAGUA